GAUGAAGAACGUAGCGAAAUGCGAUAAUUAAUGUGAAUUGCAGAAUUCCGUGAAUCAUCGAGUCUUUGAACGCACAUUGCGCCUCAUGGCAUUCCAUGAGGCAUGCCCAUCUCAGCGUUAGAAAAUAUUCUCAAAUUUUAGUUUUGUGCUAAAAUUUGGAUCAUGUCAAGGAAGCUAUUACUAUUAUUGUGAUCGCUCUUUGGAAAUUGAUAGGUCUUUGAGUUGCUACUCAUAGAACGUGAUGAAUCUUUCUUCGUUCUAUUGUAAUUCACUCUGGUAGUCCUAAAACUUGUAUGCCUGUGGCAUAUCUUGUAAUUUGACCUGAGAUUGGGUAGGGAUACCCGCUGAACUUAAGCAUAUCAAUAAGCGGAGGA
This 374-nucleotide unclassified non-coding RNA is filed under the name soil metagenome. RNAcentral's name for it is "partial contains internal transcribed spacer 2 and large subunit ribosomal RNA". The stretch from base 1 to 120 matches the Rfam family "5.8S ribosomal RNA", at positions 35 to 154 of the family's 154-position model. The record is from RNAcentral.